This 252-nucleotide ribosomal RNA is filed under the name uncultured bacterium. RNAcentral describes it as "partial 16S ribosomal RNA". It matches the Rfam family "Bacterial small subunit ribosomal RNA", at positions 524 to 776 of the family's 1533-position model. The record is from RNAcentral.
UACGUAGGUCCCGAGCGUUGUCCGGAUUUAUUGGGCGUAAAGCGAGCGCAGGUGGUUUAUUAAGUCUGGUGUAAAAGGCAGUGGCUCAACCAUUGUAUGCAUUGGAAGCUGGUAGACUUGAGUGCAGGAGAGGAGAGUGGAAUUCCAUGUGUAGCGGUGAAAUGCGUAGAUAUAUGGAGGAACACCGGUGGCGAAAGCGGCUCUCUGGCCUGUAACUGACACUGAGGCCCGAAAGCGUGGGGAGCAAACAGG